UCAGGAUGAACGCUAGCGACAGGCCUAACACAUGCAAGUCGAGGGGCAGCGGAGAGGUAGCAAUACCUUUGCCGGCGACCGGCGCACGGGUGAGUAACACGUAUGCAAUCCACCUGUAACAGGGGGAUAACCCGGAGAAAUCCGGACUAAUACCCCAUAAUAUGGGCGCUCCGCAUGGAGGGUCCAUUAAAGAGAGCAAUUUUGGUUACAGACGAGCAUGCGCUCCAUUAGCCAGUUGGCGGGGUAACGGCCCACCAAGGCGACGAUCAGUAGGGGUUCUGAGAGGAAGGUCCCCCACAUUGGAACUGAGACACGGUCCAAACUCCUACGGGAGGCAGCAGUGAGGAAUAUUGGUCAAUGGACGAGAGUCUGAACCAGCCAAGUAGCGUGCAGGAUGACGGCCCUAUGGGUUGUAAACUGCUUUUAUAAGGGAAUAAAGUGGGAGUCGUGACUCUUUUUGCAUGUACCUUAUGAAUAAGGACCGGCUAAUUCCGUG
Molecule: ribosomal RNA, 496 nt
Filed under: uncultured bacterium
Lineage: Bacteria
Description: bacterial SSU rRNA
Rfam family: Bacterial small subunit ribosomal RNA
Source: RNAcentral